UAAAGUGGCGAACGGCUGAGUAACACGUGGGCAACCUGCCCUUUGCACUGGGAUAGCCUCGGGAAACCGAGGUUAAUACCGGAUACUCCAUAUUUGUCGCAUGGCGAAUAUGGGAAAGCUCCGGCGGCAAAGGAUGGGCCCGCGGCCUGUUAGCUAGUUGGUGGGGUAGUGGCCUACCAAGGCAAUGAUGGGUAGCCGGGUUGACGAGACCGACCGGCCAGAUUGGGACUGAGACACGGCCCAGACUCCUACGGGAGGGCAGCAGCG
Molecule: ribosomal RNA, 267 nt
Filed under: uncultured Atopobium sp.
Lineage: Bacteria; Bacillati; Actinomycetota; Coriobacteriia; Coriobacteriales; Atopobiaceae
Description: partial 16S ribosomal RNA
Rfam family: Bacterial small subunit ribosomal RNA
Source: RNAcentral